AGGGCGGCUACCAUGCAAGUCGAGCGCCCGCAAGGGAGCGGCGGACGGGUGAGUAACGCGUGGGAAUAUGCCCUUCUCUACGGAAUAGCCUCGGGAAACUGAGAGUAAUACCGUAUACGCCCUUUUGGGGAAAGAUUUAUCGGAGAAGGAUUAGCCCGCGUUGGAUUAGGUAGUUGGUGGGGUAAUGGCCUACCAAGCCGACGAUCCAUAGCUGGUUUGAGAGGAUGAUCAGCCACACUGGGACUGAGACACGGCCCAGACUCCUACGGGAGGCAGCAGUGGGGAAUCUUAGACAAUGGGGGCAACCCUGAUCUAGCCAUGCCGCGUGAGUGAUGAAGGCCUUAGGGUUGUAAAGCUCUUUCAGCUGGGAAGAUAAUGACGGUACCAGCAGAAGAAGCCCCGGCUAACUCCGUGCCAGCAGCGGGGGGU
RNAcentral lists this ribosomal RNA (429 nucleotides) under Paracoccus sp. (in: a-proteobacteria). RNAcentral describes it as "bacterial SSU rRNA". It matches the Rfam family "Bacterial small subunit ribosomal RNA", at positions 44 to 522 of the family's 1533-position model. The record is from RNAcentral. Lineage: Bacteria; Pseudomonadati; Pseudomonadota; Alphaproteobacteria; Rhodobacterales; Paracoccaceae.